CAACUUUUGUUGUACUCUGUUUGAUUUGAAAUUUGUUAUGGGACUGGACAAAUUAGAUAGCAAGGGACAGGACAAAAACAAGAUUUUUUGUCCCUCACUAAACCACGGGACAACUUUUUGUCCACAGUAUAAAUAUAAAAAAUACGAAAAUACCUAUUUUAUUUUCGAAUAUAAAAAUAUUAUCGUCCUAUAUCUUUCCGG
Molecule: long non-coding RNA, 201 nt
Filed under: Trifolium pratense (red clover)
Lineage: Eukaryota; Viridiplantae; Streptophyta; Magnoliopsida; Fabales; Fabaceae
Description: long non-coding RNA (TPRA_LNC000072)
Source: RNAcentral